RNAcentral lists this ribosomal RNA (406 nucleotides) under uncultured bacterium. Its description in RNAcentral is "partial 16S ribosomal RNA". It matches the Rfam family "Bacterial small subunit ribosomal RNA", at positions 30 to 526 of the family's 1533-position model. The record is from RNAcentral.
AUUGAACGCUGGCGGCAGGCCUAACACAUGCGAGUCGAACGAGUGGCGGACGGGUGAGUAAUGUCUGGGAAACUGCCUGAUGGAGGGGGAUAACUACUGGAAACGGUAGCUAAUACCGCAUACCAUCAGAUGUGCCCAGAUGGGAUUAGCUAGUUGGUGGGGUAACGGCUCACCAAGGCGACGAUCCCGAGCUGGUCUGAGAGGAUGACCAGCCAACCUGGAACUGAGACACGGCCCAGACUCCUACGUGAGGCAGCAGUGGGGAAGUUUUCACAAUGGGCGCAAGCCUGAUGCAGCCAUGCCGCGUGUAUGAAGAAGGCCUGCGGGUUGUAAAGUACUUUCAGCGGGGAGGCGUUACCUGCAGAAGAAGCACCGGCUAACUCCGUGCCAGCAGCCGCGGUAAUAC